GACGAACGCUGGCGGCGUGCUUAACACAUGCAAGUCGAACGGAGAUAAUAGCAAUAUUAUCUUAGUGGCGGACGGGUGAGUAACGCGUGGGCAACUUGCCUCGGACUGGGGGAUAACACAGGGAAACUUGUGCUAAUACCGCAUAACAUGAUUGAAGGACAUCCUUCGAUCAUCAAAGGAGUAAUCCGGUUUGAGAUGGGCCCGCGUCCGAUUAGCUAGUUGGUAGUGUAAUGGACUACCAAGGCGACGAUCGGUAGCCGAACUGAGAGGUUGAUCGGCCACAUUGGGACUGAGACACGGCCCAGACUCCUACGGGAGGCAGCAGUGGGGAAUAUUGCACAAUGGGGGAAACCCUGAUGCAGCAACGCCGCGUGAAGGAUGAAGGUUUUCGGAUUGUAAACUUCUUUGAUUGGGGACGAAUAAUGACGGUACCCAAAAAACAAGCCACGGCUAACUACGUGCCAGCAGCCGCAGUAAUAC
RNAcentral lists this ribosomal RNA (480 nucleotides) under uncultured bacterium. RNAcentral describes it as "bacterial SSU rRNA". It matches the Rfam family "Bacterial small subunit ribosomal RNA", at positions 28 to 526 of the family's 1533-position model. The record is from RNAcentral.